This 513-nucleotide ribosomal RNA is filed under the name uncultured bacterium. RNAcentral describes it as "partial 16S ribosomal RNA". It matches the Rfam family "Bacterial small subunit ribosomal RNA", at positions 28 to 523 of the family's 1533-position model. The record is from RNAcentral.
GACGAACGCUGGCGGCAUGCCUAAUACAUGCAAGUCGAGCGAACAGAUGAAGUGCUUGCACUUCUGACGUUAGCGGCGAACGGGUGAGUAACACGUAAGGAAUCUACCUAUAAGCGGGGGAUAACAUUCGGAAACGGGUGCUAAUACCGCAUAAUAUCUUCUUCCGCAUGGAAGAAGAUUGAAAGACGGCUCUGCUGUCACUUAUAGAUGACCUUGCGGUGCAUUAGUUAGUUGGUGGGGUAACGGCCUACCAAGACGAUGAUGCAUAGCCGACCUGGGAGGGUGAGCGGCCACAUUGGGACUGACACACGGCCCAAACUCCUACGGGAAGCAGCAGUAGGGAAUCUUCCGCAAUGGGCGAAAGCCUGACGGAGCAAUGCCUCGUGAGUGAAGAAGGCCUUCGGGUCGUAAAACUCUGUUAUAAGAGAAGAACAAAUUGUAGAGUAACUGCUACAGUCUUGACGGUAUCUUAUCAGAAAGCCACGGCUAACUACGUGCCAGCCGCCGCGGUAA